GCUUGCUGGGGGGAUUAGUGGCGAACGGGUGAGUAACACGUGAGUAACCUGCCCUUGACUCUGGGAUAAGCCUGGGAAACUGGGUCUAAUACCGGAUAUGACUCCUCAUCGCAUGGUGGGGGGUGGAAAGCUUUUGUGGUUUUGGAUGGACUCGCGGCCUAUCAGCUUGUUGGUGGGGUAAUGGCCUACCAAGGCGACGACGGGUAGCCGGCCUGAGAGGGUGACCGGCCACACUGGGACUGAGACACGGCCCAGACUCCUACGGGAGGCAGCAGUGGGGAAUAUUGCACAAUGGGCGCAAGCCUGAUGCAGCGACGCCGCGUGAGGGAUGACGGCCUUCGGGUUGUAAACCUCUUUCAGUAGGGAAGAAGCCUUUCGGGGUGACGGUACUUGCAGAAGAAGCGCCGGCUAACUACGUGCCAGCAGCCGCGGUAAUACGUAGGGCGCAAGCGUUAUCCGGAAUUAUUGGGCGUAAAGAGCUCGUAGGCGGUUUGUCGCGUCUGCUGUGAAAGACCGGGGCUCAACUCCGGUUCUGCAGUGGGUACGGGCAGACUAGAGUGCAGUAUGGGAGACUGGAAUUCCUGGUGUAGCGGUGAAAUGCGCAGAUAU
Molecule: ribosomal RNA, 609 nt
Filed under: Arthrobacter sp.
Lineage: Bacteria; Bacillati; Actinomycetota; Actinomycetes; Micrococcales; Micrococcaceae
Also listed under: 1 other name
Description: bacterial SSU rRNA
Rfam family: Bacterial small subunit ribosomal RNA
Source: RNAcentral